This 957-nucleotide long non-coding RNA is filed under the name Mytilus galloprovincialis (Mediterranean mussel). Lineage: Eukaryota; Metazoa; Mollusca; Bivalvia; Mytilida; Mytilidae. The record is from RNAcentral.
CAAGAAACAGUUUUCAAUUAGUUCAUUCCUAAUAAAAUAUACAAUUCUGUUUAAUUAAUUUCCACCAUUAAUAAACCAGAAAGGAAAUAAAAUGUUUUGCAAUUCAAUUAAUCAAAUAUUAUCCCACAUUGAAAAUUCUCCAAUAGUAGUGGAAGACACAAAAGCAUGGGAUCUCUAGUUAAGCUAUACAUGUACUGUUUACUUUAAUAUGUUCUUUAAGAGGUGCAAUAUCACAUUUCCUAAUGAUGCUGGCUUUUUUAUCCACACAUCCUCUAGAACAGACAACAUCCUAGCAAAUGCCACAUGGUUAUGGUGGUCAUAUCUUCUUCUUCCAAGUAAUGGUUGUUAGGUAUAGAUGAGUUUUUCAAUGAAUGUGAUUCAUAUCUAAAUACAGCUGUAGCAUCAUGCAUGGUACCUAAUAAAAGAUUAUUGUAAAAUUGAUGUCUUUGUUUCAAUAUACUGCAUGUACUGUUGAUUUAUUAUUAUUCUUUGGAUACUAAUUUUCAUUGAUUUCGUAUGUACAGGUAAACAACAAAAAUCAAACAUUCAGCAAGUAACAAAUUUCUAUAGAAUUGUAUCAUCACUAAGCACACAUUGGCCAAACCAUGCAAUUAAACAUCCACAAACAUGCAAAUUUUCCUUAAUCCAUGAAAAUUGGAACCCACUAAAAACACAAAUGAAUCCACAGUAAUUCCUCUGAAAUUGACUGAAUAUUAUUUAGCAUCUAUACAUGACAUAUAUGUUCAUUACAGUGUCUUUCAUAUUUAAAAGAUAAAUUAGUCUUGUUAAAUGUGUCCAGACAGACAAAUAUUAGUAGACUAGUCAUGGUUGUGUUAACUUAUUGUGUAAAAUGUCCAUGGUUACAGAAUUUACUAGCAUAGUCUGAUGUCAGCAACUUAUGUCCCUAGACUAUUUUUUUCCUAGAAACUUAAUGUCAAUGUCAUCAAAAUUCCCAGG